Molecule: ribosomal RNA, 706 nt
Filed under: uncultured Actinomycetes bacterium
Lineage: Bacteria; Bacillati; Actinomycetota; Actinomycetes
Description: bacterial SSU rRNA
Rfam family: Bacterial small subunit ribosomal RNA
Source: RNAcentral
GCCUGAUGCAGCAACGCCGCGUGAGGGACGAAGGCCUUCGGGUUGUAAACCUCUUUUAGCAGGGAAGAAGCGCAAGUGACGGUACCUGCAGAAAAAGCACCGGCUAACUACGUGCCAGCAGCCGCGGUAAUACGUAGCGUGCAAGCGUUGUCCGGAAUUAUUGGGCGUAAAGAGCUCGUAGGCGGUUUGUCGCGUCUGCUGUGAAAAUCCGAGGCUCAACCUCGGACCUGCAGUGGGUACGGGCAAACUAGAGUGCGGUAGGGGAGAUUGGAAUUCCUGGUGUAGCGGUGGAAUGCGCAGAUAUCAGGAGGAACACCAAUGGCGAAGGCAGAUCUCUGGGCCGUAACUGACGCUGAGGAGCGAAAGCGUGGGGAGCGAACAGGAUUAGAUACCCUGGUAGUCCACGCCGUAAACGGUGGGAACUAGAUGUGGGGUCCGUUCCACGGAUUCCGUGUCGCAGCUAACGCAUUAAGUUCCCCGCCUGGGGAGUACGGCCGCAAGGCUAAAACUCAAAGGAAUUGACGGGGGCCCGCACAAGCGGCGGAGCAUGCGGAUUAAUUCGAUGCAACGCGAAGAACCUUACCAAGGCUUGACAUAUAGAGGAAAGGUGCAGAAAUGUACCCCCCGCAAGGUCUCUAUACAGGUGGUGCAUGGUUGUCGUCAGCUCGUGUCGUGAGAUGUUGGGUUAAGUCCCGCAACGAGCGCA